GCAAGGAACCAUGGUUGGAGAAUUGGGAACAGUAUGGCAGAGUUUAGGCAUCUCAUUCUCAUGUAAUUCAAGGAUCAGUGACCUACAUAUCAAAACGGCACCACUGAUUCUCUUGAGUAUACUAGCCAAUUGGGAAAAACUCCCAAAGACAAGAUACAAAAAUCAUAAACAACACAAAUUCUCCAUUUUUCACUCAUCAUGGAACCCAAAUUUGCUGACAAAACACAAAGCCAAUUAUAUACAAUCCAUGCCGAAGGUAGAAAUG
Molecule: unclassified non-coding RNA, 265 nt
Filed under: Hevea brasiliensis (rubber tree)
Lineage: Eukaryota; Viridiplantae; Streptophyta; Magnoliopsida; Malpighiales; Euphorbiaceae
Source: RNAcentral